ACUCCACUCGUGUUAUGAUUCUAACAUCCCACAUCGGCCAAGUAUGGGCUUGGCCAUGUGUACACAAGCCCUUGGCCACCCUCCCUUUGGAUUUCCAGGGCAAGUUCUAAAAAAGGUUUGUAUCAUAUUCUUUCUUCCCUUUCAGUCUUCUGUAUUCUAAUUUUGACUAUAUUUGGAUUAUGAUCAAGGGAGGAGUUCAUGGAAGAAAAAAAAGUAAAGGAAAGAUAGUAAAUCUAAACCGUUUGAAUAUUUUAACUUUUUUAUGUAUGUUUCUUUUCCUUC
This 282-nucleotide long non-coding RNA is filed under the name Actinidia chinensis (golden kiwifruit). RNAcentral's name for it is "long non-coding RNA (ACHI_LNC000310)". The record is from RNAcentral. Lineage: Eukaryota; Viridiplantae; Streptophyta; Magnoliopsida; Ericales; Actinidiaceae.